CAGCCGCCGCGGGAAUACGAAGGGGGCUAGCGUUGCUCGGAAUGACUGGGCGUAAAGGGCGCGUAGGCGGCGAUCAAAGUCAGGCGUGAAAUUCCUGGGCUCAACCUGGGGGCUGCGUUUGAUACUUGAUUGCUAGAGUGGGGAAGAGGGUCGUGGAAUUCCCAGUGUAGAGGUGAAAUUCGUAGAUAUUGGGAAGAACACCGGUGGCGAAGGCGGCGACCUGGUCCUUGACUGACGCUGAGGCGCGAAAGCGUGGGGAGCAAACAGGAUUAGAUACCCCUGUAGUCCCUGUCUCUUAUAC
RNAcentral lists this ribosomal RNA (301 nucleotides) under uncultured bacterium. Its description in RNAcentral is "partial 16S ribosomal RNA". It matches the Rfam family "Bacterial small subunit ribosomal RNA", at positions 509 to 807 of the family's 1533-position model. The record is from RNAcentral.